AGUGAACGCUGGCGGUAGGCCUAACACAUGCAAGUCGAACGGCAGCACAGUAAGAGCUUGCUCUUACGGGUGGCGAGUGGCGGACGGGUGAGGAAUACAUCGGAAUCUACUUUUUCGCGGGGGAUAACGUAGGGAAACUUACGCUAAUACCGCAUACGACCUACGGGUGAAAGCAGGGGAUCUUCGGACCUUGCGCGAUUGAAUGAGCCGAUGUCGGAUUAGCUAGUUGGCGGGGUAAAGGCCCACCAAGGCGACGAUCCGUAGCUGGCCUGAGAGGAUGAUCAGCCACACUGGAACUGAGACACGGUCCAGACUCCUACGGGAGGCAGCAGUGGGGAAUAUUGGACAAUGGGCGCAAGCCUGAUCCAGCCAUACCGCGUGGGUGAAGAAGGCCUUCGGGUUGUAAAGCCCUUUUGUUGGGAAAGAAAAGCAGCAGGUUAAUACCCCGCUGUUCUGACGGUACCCAAAGAAUAAGCACCGGCUAACUUCGUG
This 492-nucleotide ribosomal RNA is filed under the name uncultured bacterium. Its description in RNAcentral is "partial 16S ribosomal RNA". It matches the Rfam family "Bacterial small subunit ribosomal RNA", at positions 29 to 507 of the family's 1533-position model. The record is from RNAcentral.